UACCCGGGUGCAAUAUCAAUAAGCGGAGGAAAAGAAACCAACAGGGAUUGCCUCAGUAACGGCGAGCGAAGCGGCAAAAGCUCAAAUUUGAAAUCUGGCGUCGUGUCGGCGUCCGAGUUGUAAUUUGAAGAUGGCAACUUUGGGAAUGGCUCUCGCAUAUGUUCCUUGGAACAGGACGUCAUAGAGGGUGAGAACCCCGUUCAUGGCGAGAUGACCCAGUCCUAUGUAAAGUGCUUUCUAAGAGUCGAGUUGUUUGGGAAUGCAGCUCUAAGUGGGUGGUAAAUUCCAUCUAAGGCUAAAUAUUGGCGAGAGACCGAUAGCGAACAAGUACAGUGAUGGAAAGAUGAAAAGAACUUUGAAAAGAGAGUGAAAAAGUACGUGAAAUUGUUGAAAGGGAAGGGCUUGAAGUCAGACAUGGUAUUCAGUGAUCAACUGUCUUUCGGGACUGUGCACUCGCUGUUUACUGGGCCAGCAUCGGUUUAGGCGGUGAGAUAAAUGCAAGAGAAUGUGGCUCCAUCUUCGGGUGGAGUGUUAUAGCUCUUGUUCAUAUCACCAGCUUGGACCGAGGACCGCGCUUCGGCUAGGAUGCUGGCGUAAUGACUUUAAGCCACCCGUCUUGAACAACGGACCCA
RNAcentral lists this ribosomal RNA (632 nucleotides) under Blastobotrys allociferrii. RNAcentral's name for it is "eukaryotic LSU rRNA". It matches the Rfam family "Eukaryotic large subunit ribosomal RNA", at positions 22 to 669 of the family's 3401-position model. Lineage: Eukaryota; Fungi; Ascomycota; Dipodascomycetes; Dipodascales; Trichomonascaceae. The record is from RNAcentral.